AGAAACCAAAUAUAGAAUACUAAUUGUAUAGUUUUUUGAUAACAAUUAAGUUGUUCCAUUUGGAUUAUAAAAAUAUAUAAUAGUACCUAUUUGGGCUCAUGUCAUAUGUUUUAUUAACAUGUACUUCCUGGUUUAUAUCAAAUUACAGAAUUUUAGAGUUUCAGAAUAAUUUGAAUUUAGAAAGCUAUUACUGUAAUUAUGUGGGGGCAUUAAUGGAGGCUUGUAAUUGUAAUGCUGAAAAUAUAAAUUAAUUGGCUUGUAAAUGAGACAGGUAUAGCAAGUAAAUGAGGUCCUGAGGGUAUAUUUUUAUUCAGCUACUGAGUUGCAGGAUAAAGUCAAAAUAUUUACCGAGGUUAAUGGAAUAAUUAUAUAGGAUUUAUCUAUACUAUUAAAAUUACAUUUAAAAUAUAGAGCUAUAUUGCUUACCUUAAAUUAUAAAAUGAGCUUUCUCCAAAUUCAAAAUGCUUGUAAUUCACAGUCAUUUUUGGAUUACUGUAAAAAGGUAACUAACUGCCUUUUUACAAUUAGGAAUUUAUUUACAACUUUCUCUUCCAAUCCAUUUUCUAGUCUUUUAUACAAAAGACUCAUCUGCUUUCAAGGUUAGUUCAUUUAAGUCAUAAGGUAGAGAGAAGCAAGUACAGAAUACAACACAGAACCACAGCCAUAAGGUAGAUUUCUCAAGUACUGUCCCUAAUGUUACCGGGGGUCCUUGCUUCCAGAGCUCCCAAGAUGGUGGUGGGCCACUUCCAAGAUGGUGGCAAGAGUCGUAUUCUCUGACCUGGGGUUCUUGGUCUCAUGGAUUCCAAGGAAUGGAAUCUUGCGCCAUGUGGAGAAGCGUCAGAUAAUUAGGCAGCAGUCCAACAAUUAGGUUUUGUGGAACUUUUACUAUGUCAUCUAUUUAUUGGAAUUCCCCCUGGAUACCAGGACCCCCUCCAGCAGAGCUUAAAGUUAUAGUUACAGGAAGUACAAAUUCCUUAUGUGGAUCCCUGGAAGUGUGAUGAGAAGAACCACUGUUUCCAAGAUCUAUUUAUUCUAUUUAUCAGGCCUAUAAAAUCAUGUAAUGGCCAUGGCUUCAACUAGACUCCACAUCUUGAAUCACAGAACUCAACGAAUGGCAUCAACUACAAGCUGGUAUUCUGCUAUACAUUUAAGAGGCCAUUUUAAUAUUCUAUUAGUCUAGCAGCUUCUAAGUGAUGAGGGAUAUGGGGGGACUGGAGGAUCCCGUGCUCACUUCCUUUUCUGUAAAAGGAGCUCUUUGAUCCAAGGUGACAUGGUAUGGGAUCCAAUGACAAUAAAUCAGUUAUUCUGUGAACCCUGAUCAAAACUUGACUAAACUUUUGACAGUUAGGUUUUUUCCUGACCACAGACUCCUCACCUUUCUUUUCUUAGAAAAUUUACAUUGGAAAACAGAUGUAAAUUUUCUCCAGCCUCUUGCAAGGUUUACAGUCCAGGACUUUGAGGUCCUGGGAGUCAUCCUUUUGAAAUACAAUCAUCAAAGAAGAUAGUGCUCCAAUCUCCUAGUCUCUGUGGGAGGGUUGGAACCUAACUUCAGUAAACUAAUCACCAAUUAGCAAACACAGAGGGGCUGAUCAUACUGACCCACUUUCCCACUAAAAUGUCUAGUACUUUCCACCAGCUCACCACAGUGCUUAAAAACUCUCCUGUCUUUUGUUUUACUAGAGUUGAGUCCAAUCUCUUUCAUCUAUUGCAAUAGUGUUGAAUAAAGUCUUCCUUGCCUAA
Long non-coding RNA from Homo sapiens (human), 1740 nucleotides. RefSeq lists it as uncharacterized. The record is from RefSeq and is a predicted model, not a curated record. The transcript has 2 exons. Lineage: Eukaryota; Metazoa; Chordata; Mammalia; Primates; Hominidae.